CAUGAUUGAAUCUUAUUUCGAUAUCAUUAAGAUACAUUGAGCAGAAUGUGACAGAUUCGGUAGCUACAUAUGCUUCCGCUAUAAAGCCUUCAGGUCUUGCUUUAUUACGCACAUACUUUUUUAAGGUGCAUAAGAAUCUGUAAACAAAAAUAAAUUUUAAUUUUAAAAAUAUAUUUACAUCUUAUAAUUGAUAUGAUAAAAUAUGUAUAACUUUUUUACCUUUUAAUAGGAUACAUCCAUCGAUAAUGUAUCGAUCUGACUAAAAGAGCUUCUUUUGGAAGAUGGAC
Molecule: long non-coding RNA, 287 nt
Filed under: Elaeis guineensis (African oil palm)
Lineage: Eukaryota; Viridiplantae; Streptophyta; Magnoliopsida; Arecales; Arecaceae
Description: long non-coding RNA (EGUI_LNC078390)
Source: RNAcentral